UACGUAGGCAGCGAGCGUUGUUCGGAAUUACUGGGCGUAAAGAGUGUGUAGGCGGUGUUCUAAGUCUGUUGUGAAAUCUCCCGGCUCAACUGGGAGGGUGCAGCGGAAACUGGAAUGCUAGAGUGUGGGAGAGGUAAGCGGAAUUCCUGGUGUAGCGGUGAAAUGCGUAGAUAUCAGGAGGAACACCUGCGGUGUAGACAGCUUACUGGACCACGACUGACGCUGAGACACGAAAGCGUGGGUAGCAGACAGG
Molecule: ribosomal RNA, 253 nt
Filed under: uncultured bacterium
Lineage: Bacteria
Description: partial 16S ribosomal RNA
Rfam family: Bacterial small subunit ribosomal RNA
Source: RNAcentral